This is a long non-coding RNA of Ceratina calcarata, 508 nucleotides long. RefSeq lists it as uncharacterized. The record is from RefSeq and is a predicted model, not a curated record. NCBI's taxonomy places the organism in Eukaryota, Metazoa, Arthropoda, Insecta, Hymenoptera, Apidae. The transcript is spliced from 3 exons.
UAUCAUCCUGUGAAUAAAAGCCCGGAUAAGAAAAUAAUCACAAUGUACAUAGCACGCAGUAAAUGAGUUGUGAGAGAGAGAGAUUGAUUUCUGUUUAUCUUCUUUCAUAUUGUCACAACAGUGAAAAACACACAUCGAUCCCCAGGAAACAAUUAAUAAGUGCUUAUAAUAAAACAGUGAGGGUUUUCUAACGAAAUGUUUAAUGUUUGAGGAAGACAUAAAUGUUUUACAUAGCACUGGCAAUGAUUGGGAUUAAGGAUUAACGGAAGUAAAAUAAAAAUAAGUAAUCUUGUCGUCGUGUCACGUACUAUAUUCGAGAUCCCACAAGAUGAAUCAAGAAUAGCCAUCGUAUUCUCACCGUUCCCUAUACAACCACUUGAAAUGUCUUCCUCGCUUGGCAGCUGGUACGUGUGAUGGUUCCUUGCGGCAUAUAUCGUUGGAUGAUCUUUUAAGGAAGGAUUCAGGUAGACCCUGUUCAGGUUUACACCUCUCGUAUCCAUUCGGUAAU